GCAUAAUACCGCUUUGCCGGUGCCCUUCGGGGCUUCAAGGGAACACAGUUGAAGCUGUGGCUGCCCCCGCAACUGUAAGCAGCGAGUCCACACCCCCAGGGUGCCACUGGAGAACCGGGAAGGCCGGUGCGGACGACGACCUGCGAGCCAGGAGACCUGCCGGCCCAUCGAUCGUGCA
Molecule: non-coding RNA, 178 nt
Filed under: Paraburkholderia sacchari
Lineage: Bacteria; Pseudomonadati; Pseudomonadota; Betaproteobacteria; Burkholderiales; Burkholderiaceae
Source: RNAcentral